UGCGUAGGCGGCCUGACAAGUCAGAGGUGAAAGGCUACGGCUUAACCGUAGUAAGCCUUUGAAACUGACAGGCUUAAGUACAGGAGAGGAAAGUGGAAUUCCUAGUGUAGCGGUGAAAUGCGUAGAUAUUAGGAGGAACACCAGUGGCGAAGGCGACUUUCUGGACUGUAACUGACGCUGAGGCACGAAAGCGUGGGGAGCGAACAGGAUUAGAUACCCUGGUAGUCC
This 228-nucleotide ribosomal RNA is filed under the name uncultured bacterium. Its description in RNAcentral is "partial 16S ribosomal RNA". It matches the Rfam family "Bacterial small subunit ribosomal RNA", at positions 568 to 796 of the family's 1533-position model. The record is from RNAcentral.